AAAGGAAUAGACGGGGGCCCGCACAAGCGGUGGAACAUGUGGUUUAAUUCGACGCAACGCGAAGAACCUUACCUACCCUUGACAUGCUCGGAAUCUGCCAGAGAUGGUGGAGUGCCUUCGGGAGCCGAGACACAGGUGCUGCAUGGCUGUCGUCAGCUCGUGUCGUGAGAUGUUGGGUUAAGUCCCGUAACGAGCGCAACCCCUAUUCUUAGUUGCCAACAGGUAAAGCUGGGAACUCUAAGGAGACUGCCGGUGACAAGCCGGAGGAAGGUGGGGAUGACGUCAAGUCCUCAUGGCCCUUACGGGUAGGGCAACACACGUGUUACAAUGGUCAGUACAGAGGGAAGCGAAGUCGCGAGAUGGAGCGAAUCCUUUAAAAGCUGAUCGUAGUCCGGAUUGGAGUCUGCAACUCGACUCCAUGAAGUUGGAAUCGCUAGUAAUCGCGGAUCAGAACGCCGCGGUGAAUACGUUCCCGGGCCUUGUACACACCGCCCGU
This 496-nucleotide ribosomal RNA is filed under the name uncultured bacterium. Its description in RNAcentral is "bacterial SSU rRNA". It matches the Rfam family "Bacterial small subunit ribosomal RNA", at positions 903 to 1397 of the family's 1533-position model. The record is from RNAcentral.